AACGCGAAGAACCUUACCAGGUCUUGACAUCUGAAUGUAACGCUUAGAGAUAAGCGCCUUCUUCGGAACAUUCAAGACAGGUGGUGCAUGGUUGUCGUCAGCUCGUGUCGUGAGAUGUUGGGUUAAGUCCCGCAACGAGCGCAACCCCUGAUCUUAGUUGCCAGCAUUUCGGAUGGGCACUCUAGGAUGACUGCCGGUGACAAACCGGAGGAAGGUGGGGAUGACGUCAAAUCAUCAUGCCCCUUAUGACCUGGGCUACACACGUACUACAAUGGUCGGUACAACGGGAAGCGAAAGAGCGAUCUGGAGCGAAUCCUAUAAAGCCGAUCUCAGUUCGGAUUGCAGGCUGCAACUCGCCUGCAUGAAGUCGGAAUUGCUAGUAAUCGCUGAUCAGCAAGCAGCGGUGAAUACGUUCCCGGGCCUUGUACACACCGACGCGUA
This 441-nucleotide ribosomal RNA is filed under the name uncultured bacterium. RNAcentral describes it as "bacterial SSU rRNA". It matches the Rfam family "Bacterial small subunit ribosomal RNA", at positions 958 to 1399 of the family's 1533-position model. The record is from RNAcentral.